GCGGGCGUGGCGGAAUUGGUAGACGCAGGGGACUCAAAAUCCCCCGGCCGCAAGGCCUUGUCGGUUCGAGUCCGACCGCCCGCACCA
This 87-nucleotide transfer RNA is filed under the name Marinicauda salina. Its description in RNAcentral is "Marinicauda sp. WD6-1 tRNA-Leu". It matches the Rfam family "tRNA". Rfam says of the family: Transfer RNA (tRNA) molecules are approximately 80 nucleotides in length. Their secondary structure includes four short double-helical elements and three loops (D, anti-codon, and T loops). The record is from RNAcentral. Lineage: Bacteria; Pseudomonadati; Pseudomonadota; Alphaproteobacteria; Maricaulales; Maricaulaceae.